Molecule: ribosomal RNA, 497 nt
Filed under: uncultured bacterium
Lineage: Bacteria
Description: partial 16S ribosomal RNA
Rfam family: Bacterial small subunit ribosomal RNA
Source: RNAcentral
GAUGAACGCUGGCGGCGUGCCUAAUACAUGCAAGUCGAGCGAACGGACGAUAAGCUUGCUUCUCUGAUGUUAGCGGCGGACGGGUGAGUAACACGUGGAUAACCUACCUAUAAGACUGGGAUAACUUCGGGAAACCGGAGCUAAUACCGGAUGAUAUUUUGAACCGCAUGGUUCAAAAGUGAAAGACGGUCUUGCUGUCACUUAUAGAUGGAUCCGCGCUGCAUUAGCUAGUUGGUAAGGUAACGGCUUACCAAGGCAACGAUGCAUAGCCGACCUGAGAGGGUGAUCGGCCACACUGGAACUGAGACACGGUCCAGACUCCUACGGGAGGCAGCAGUAGGGAAUAUUGCGCAAUGGGCGAAAGCCUGACGGAGCAACGCCGCGUGAGUGAUGAAGGUCUUCGGAUCGUAAAACUCUGUUAUUAGGGAAGAACAUAUGUGUAAGUAACUGUGCACAUCUUGACGGUACCUAAUCAGAAAGCCACGGCUAACUACGUG